This is a long non-coding RNA of Scylla paramamosain (green mud crab), 160 nucleotides long. RefSeq lists it as uncharacterized. The transcript has 2 exons. The record is from RefSeq and is a predicted model, not a curated record. Lineage: Eukaryota; Metazoa; Arthropoda; Malacostraca; Decapoda; Portunidae.
UUCUUUUGUCUUGUAUAUUCUAUUGAUUUGUGAUUUCUUUCGAUAGAAAGACAUUUUUCUUCAACUUUCUUGUUUCUCUAAUGCAUUUAUCAUUCUUUCAUCACCACCGUUUUUCCUCUUAUGAGAGAGAGAGAGAGAGAGAGAGAGAUCGCCAGCCACA